AUGGAGGUUCAUCCCAUCCUCCCCCAUCCUCCCCCAUCCCGGCCACCCCACCACGGAAAGCAAAGCGAAGUUCGUUCUCCCGCAGGGCCACAGAGGAGCCGGCUCGGGGGCCCAGGGCAGAAGCUGAGCGAGCAGGGGGGGGGGCGGGGAGAAGGCGCAGAGGAGCGCGGUGCACUUUGCUUUGCGCCUCUGCAGAUGCACGCCAGAGCCCCGGGCCGCUCCCGUCCUUACCCCGUCUCCCGGAGACCCGGUCCUGCUACUGCGGCGCGAAGCAAGGGCCGAGGGGACGCGGCGUCGGGGCGGGCCGCCGGCUGCAGCCUCGGGCGCCGAGGGCCACCGCCGCUUCGCGGAGCUGCUGCGGGCGUGCGCCGGGGGAGCCGAAGAAGGAGCCUGGGGACGGGGGGAAGGGGAGCCGCAUCUCCUUCUCCUCCUCGCCUCGGAAACGCCCCUCCGCGGCGGCCCCCGCCGACCGCCGGACCCCGGAGCGCCGAGCACCCUCUCCGCCCUCCCGCGCUCGGCGCGCCUCCCAGAGCCUCUGCAGCCACAGCCUCCGGCGCGGGACGGCGCGGGCCGGCUCAGCUCCUGCAGCGGGCUCCGAGCGCUGCCGACCGGGCCGAGGCGGAGCGGGGGGCGAGCGAGCGCAGCGCGCCAGCGAGACGGGCGCCGGGGGCCGCGAGCAUGGCGUGGGACCCUCGCCGCACCACGGCCGCCGCAGCUACUAGCACAGCCCCCGCGGCGCCGCAGGCAGCCGCGCGGCCCCGCCCCCGGCCCCGCCCCCGCAGCCCCGGCCCCGCCCCCCGCAGCCCCGGCCCCGCCCCGCGCAGCCCCGGCCCCGCCCCCGCUGCCGUCACUCAAGCCCGCCCCCUCCCGGCGCUCCCCUCCGCCCAUUGGCCCUCCCGGCCUCCGGCUCCGCCCCCUCCCGGGGGACGAGGUCGCCGCGGAGACCGGCGCCCCGGUUCCCAUGACAACCGGUGCCCGGGGCCUCGCUUUUCGGGUUGUGGCCGAGCAGACGCUCUGGCAGAUCGCGGGGCUGCAAAAGUAAGGACUGUGAUGGGAACUUUGCCCAGAGGAGAAGCAGAAGCAAGAUAAGUAAUCUACCAAAACAUGAGCAGCUCAUCCUGUUAAAGAUCUGUUGUUACUGUUACAAGAUAUUGAGGGGG
This 1160-nucleotide long non-coding RNA is filed under the name Canis lupus familiaris (dog). RNAcentral's name for it is "lncRNA (ENSCAFG00040025443.1)". The record is from RNAcentral. Lineage: Eukaryota; Metazoa; Chordata; Mammalia; Carnivora; Canidae.